This 479-nucleotide ribosomal RNA is filed under the name uncultured bacterium. RNAcentral describes it as "partial 16S ribosomal RNA". It matches the Rfam family "Bacterial small subunit ribosomal RNA", at positions 425 to 921 of the family's 1533-position model. The record is from RNAcentral.
GUAGACCCCUUUUCUGGGGAAGAAAAUGACGGUACCCGAGGAAUAAGUCUCGGCUAACUACGUGCCAGCAGCCGCGGUAAGACGUAGGAGGCGAGCGUUAUCCGGAAUUAUUGGGCGUAAAGGGCGUGUAGGCGGCCUUCCAAGUCUUUGGUGAAAUCACCCAGCUCAACUGGGAGGGUGUCAAAGAAACUGGAGGGCUUGAUGGCAGCAGAGGGGGGUGGAAUUCCCGGUGUAGUGGUGAUAUGCGUAGAUAUCGGGAGGAACACCACUGGCGAAGGCGGCCCCCUGGGCUGUUCCUGACGCUGAUGCGCGAAAGCAUGGGGAGCAAACAAGAUUAGAUACCCUGGUAGUCCACCCCACCAACGAUGGAUACUAGGUAUGGGGGGGAUCGACCCCCUCCGUGCCGAAGCUUACUCUUUAAUUAUCCCCCCUGGGGAUUACGGCCGCCAGGCUAAAACUCAAAGGAAUUGAUGGGGGGG